RNAcentral lists this ribosomal RNA (462 nucleotides) under uncultured bacterium. RNAcentral's name for it is "partial 16S ribosomal RNA". It matches the Rfam family "Bacterial small subunit ribosomal RNA", at positions 338 to 795 of the family's 1533-position model. The record is from RNAcentral.
CCUACGGGAGGCAGCAGUGAGGAAUAUUGGUCAAUGGACGCAAGUCUGAACCAGCCAAGUAGCGUGCAGGAUGACGGCCCUCCGGGUUGUAAACUGCUUUUAGUUGGGAAUAAAAGGGGGCUCGUGAGCCCCGUAUUGUAUGUACCAUCAGAAACAGGACCGGCUAAUUCCGUGCCCGCAGCCGCGGUAAUACGGAGGGUCCUGGCGUUAUCCGGAGUUAGUGGGUUUAAAGGGAGCGUAGGUCGGCUUUUAAGUCAGCUGUGAAGGUCCGCGGCUCAACCGUGGAAUUGCAGUUGAAACUGGAGGCCUUGAGUGCACACAGGGAUGCCGGAAUUCAUGGUGUAGCGGUGAAAUGCUUAGAUAUCAUGAAGAACUCCGAUCGCGAAGGCAAGUGUCCGGGGUGCAACUGACGCUGAGGCUCGAAAGUGCGGGUAUCAAACAGGAUUAGAUACCCUUGUAGUC